This is a long non-coding RNA of Apteryx haastii (Great spotted kiwi), 1710 nucleotides long. NCBI's taxonomy places the organism in Eukaryota, Metazoa, Chordata, Aves, Apterygiformes, Apterygidae. The record is from Ensembl.
AUGGUCCGGGGGGCUGAGGGUCCCCGUGCCCGCGGCAGGCGCCCUGACACUGCGCCACCCGUGCCGCCCCAGGAGCCGCCCCACGGUGAAGGACUGCUUCGCCAACGCCUGGCUCCAGGAUGCCUACCUGAUGAAGCUGCGCCGCCAGACCCUCACCUUCACCACCAACCGCCUCAAGGAGUUCCUGGUGGAGCACCAGAGGCGCCGCGGCGAGGCCGUCACCAAGCACAAGGUCUUACUCCGCUCCUACCAGGGCGGCCAGCCGCCGGGGCCGCAGUAGCCRGGUGCCCUCGCCACGGCCGCGGAGGCGCCGAGGAGCCGAAGGAACAUUCCAGGGGCCCCGGGACGGGGCGGCCGAGGAGCCGGGAUGAGCCCWUGUACCUCACAGACUGCCGCCAAGGACGCUGGCGGCAGGCGCCCGUGCCGGGGCCUGCUGGGGAGGGAUGGGGACGGGGCAGCCUCAUUGGCGAGAGGAGGUGCUGCCCGAGCCGGUCCGGGCUGCGGGCGGCUGGAAGGAAGUGUUGCUGGGAGGGAUGGAGAACGUGGCUGAGGGAUGGGGAAGGAUGCGAUGGGGAUGGGGGGGGGCCGAGGGAAGCCCCAGGUGGGAGUGGGAAAGUCGCCGGCGCUUUGGCUAGCCCUCGCCAUGCGGUCGGCGGGGAGCCGGCCUCGCCACGUGGGUGCCGCUGCGGCGUCCAGCUCAGCCUUAUGCCUUCACCGCAGCCUGCAGCUGCCUCUGGCCACAGCACGGCGGGGAGAGGAGCAGCCCUGGGCCUCCCAGAGCUGCCACCACCGUGGCCUGGGGGUGCCUGCAGUCACCCUGGUUUGCAUGUGAGCACCCGACGACUGAGGCUGCUCCACCAGUUUCUGCAGAGAGGGGCCAGCUUGCAGCCGGAUGCCUGCCCGGAGCCCCGUGCCGCGGGCAGCAGCACAGCCCCAGUUCCCACGCAGAGACGCUCGCACACACGUGCACGUACACCCACCCCUGUCCCCGAAAACCCCAGCGUGUCCCCGUGCACGCCUACACCCCCCUGCGCAGCACCCCCUGCCCGCUCACACCCCUGGUGCGCACACUCGUGCACAGCCCCACACGUGCCUUGCCAAGCCAUGCACCUCCCCUUGUACACACAUACACACACACGCGCGCGUGCGUGCACGCACUGCGCACCCCAGGGCUCACCGCUUGCUUCGGGGCCGGGGCCGCGCAGGGCUCUGCAGCCCCCGUGGCCACCGCUGGCCCGAGCCACGGCACGGCUACGGCGGCAGGGCCCUGCGCUGCCCCGCGCCCCAGCCCCGGCUGCGUCCCCUCCUCACCAGCCCCCCUUUGCCUCCCCGGGUCUUGACGUGAUGCACCAGCGUGGCCUGGGCGCCCCGGACAGGGGACAAGGGCAGCGUUUGGGCACCUGCCUUCCAGAUGCUGCUGUAGCGAUAAGGCUUUAUUUAUUGACUUUGGUGAGAAGGUCUCCAGGCGGUCUCUGGCCCUGUCCCCGUCCUCCCCCCUCCUCUCUGCCGGGCUCCGGCGUUGCCCACGGCCGCGUGGCUUGGAGCAAGCAACGUGCCAGAGCAGCAAUAAAAGCCCUGAGCAGCCGGUGGCGUCUCGGAGCCGUCCUUGGGAGGGGACGGGGCCGUCGCCCCGCCGGGAGCGCGGCGCGGGCAGGGCGCAGCCAGGACCCCCUGGGCCAGGAGGGGCUCUGGGGGCGGUCCCGGGGCUGA